Molecule: long non-coding RNA, 1482 nt
Filed under: Oreochromis niloticus (Nile tilapia)
Lineage: Eukaryota; Metazoa; Chordata; Actinopteri; Cichliformes; Cichlidae
Description: lncRNA (ENSONIG00000025237.2)
Source: RNAcentral
AUAUUACAUAAAUCUAAACAUUAAAAGUUUGUUUUCAUAAUUAAGUAAUGAGUCUAAAUACUGGAAUUUAAAUGUUGUUGUUUUUGUUUCUUUUAUUUGUGCACAAUGGUAAAUAAAAUAUUUAAAAUAUCAAAUUAAAAAAACUUAAAUAUGCAUUAAAAACUAAUGUUGAUUCAUUAAAAUACUGAUUUAAAAAACGAACACCAAAUCUUAAAAGAUAUUAAAUAUAAAUAUUAAGCGUAACUGUUACAUGUUCUUGCAGAAAUCCGAUGCUGGUCUGCUUCGUUCCAAACAAGCCUGAUAAAACAUUUGAAGAAAACUGAACUAAAGGUUGGCAGUGUUGCUCAAAUCUGACUGCAGUACUUCCUUGUCCUUCGCUGGUUUCCUAAUUAGCUACACCUGCCUUCAAGUAGUCACACAGCUGGCCAAUUAAGCAAGAAGGUAAGAAAAUAAAGUUUUGCAAAGAGUUUAGCUGACUCACUGUCUGUUCAUUAGUUUCUAGGUCCGUAGUUUGGUAGCAGCUGACAGAAGUGGCUGAAUUUGCUGCUUCCUGUAGCUGAAGCUAUGAUGUUUAUAUUAAGAUGGUUGCUGUUGUUCUUGCUAGCUGUCAAAAGUCAUCAAGAAAAUGAUCAAGAAGUGCCCCAUACGGAUGAUCAACUGGAUUUAAGCAGCAUUUACUUUGGAAAUGAGACUUUAUGGAGCAGUGGGAUACUUGAUAAUUCAACCUUGAAUGAGAGUAACUACAACACAACAUUAACAGUGGAUUAUCAGCCUGAAGCCGAAACACUGGCACAAAACAGGUCUUUGCCAGAUCUCCAGUAUUCAUUAAGUCAUACUGAACCUCCACUAAAAGAAGCAGAGUCUGGUUUUCAGGUACAGGUGCUCCAACAGCAGCGUACUUUCUCAUCCAGGCAGUCACAAGAGCCCCAGGUGCCGCCACCUACCUCCCCACCCAGUGAGACUACCUGCCCAUCACAGGUGCUCUUGCAGGUGCCAAUGCCGCGCAGUCCUCCACUUUGGCAGCUGGAGGUACCACAGCAGCCCCGUUCUCCACUCCAUCGGCUGGGGGUGGCUAAGGUGUCCCAGGUCUCCCCAGAGUUCUACUCCCCAUCUAAACAGCUGUGGGUGCCAGAUGAGCCUGGUUCAUCACACCAGCGGCUGGAUUUAAUCCAAAUGCAUGAAUCCCCUCUCCAACGGCUACAAUUUGCAGAGGUGCGCCAGCAGCCUAGAGCUGAACUCAGACGGGCACAGAUGGCUCAGGUACCCCAGCAGCCAAGUAUCCGGCUCCAACAGCUGCAAAUGGCCCAGUGGCCCCAACGGCCACUCUACCAGCUCCUGAUCCCUCGCUACCAGGCCAAGUACUCGCACUACCAGCCUAUGAUAUCCCGUUACCAGGAAAGGCUGCUAGGACACCGACCCAAGACUCCGCUCUUUCGGAUCAAGCAUCUUCGACACCCCCAGCAGAUCAGAUAUACACGUUAG